GCAAGUCGCACGAGAACCCAUCUUCGGAAGGGGGACAGUGGCGAAAGGGUGAGUAAUGCAUAGAUAACCAACCCGCGACUUCGGGAUAACUAGAGGAAACUCUAGCUAAUACCGAAUUGCCUCGCUGUGCCGCAUGGCACUGGCGAGUAAAGAUGGCCUCUCAACGAUGCCCUUGGUUGCGGACGGGUCUAUGUGCUAUCAACGCUUGUUGGUGAGGUAACGGCUCACCAAGGCUUACGGGUAGCCGGCCUGAGAGGGUGAUC
This 263-nucleotide ribosomal RNA is filed under the name uncultured bacterium. RNAcentral's name for it is "partial 16S ribosomal RNA". It matches the Rfam family "Bacterial small subunit ribosomal RNA", at positions 57 to 305 of the family's 1533-position model. The record is from RNAcentral.